Molecule: ribosomal RNA, 434 nt
Filed under: uncultured Lachnospiraceae bacterium
Lineage: Bacteria; Bacillati; Bacillota; Clostridia; Lachnospirales; Lachnospiraceae
Description: partial 16S ribosomal RNA
Rfam family: Bacterial small subunit ribosomal RNA
Source: RNAcentral
ACGGGAGGCAGCAGUGGGGAAUAUUGCACAAUGGGGGAAACCCUGAUGCAGCGACGCCGCGUGAGUGAAGAAGUAUUUCGGUAUGUAAAGCUCUAUCAGCAGGAAAGAAAAUGACGGUACCUGACUAAGAAGCCCCGGCUAACUACGUGCCAGCAGCCGCGGUAAUACGUAGGGGGCAAGCGUUAUCCGGAUUUACUGGGUGUAAAGGGAGCGUAGACGGUAAGGCAAGUCUGAAGUGAAAUGCCAGGGCUCAACCCUGGAACUGCUUUGGAAACUGUCCUACUAGAGUGCAGGAGAGGUAAGUGGAAUUCCUAGUGUAGCGGUGAAAUGCGUAGAUAUUAGGAGGAACACCAGUGGCGAAGGCGGCUUACUGGACUGUAACUGACGUUGAGGCUCGAAAGCGUGGGGAGCAAGCAGGAUUAGAUACCCUGGUA